Pan troglodytes (chimpanzee) is the source of this 310-nucleotide unclassified non-coding RNA. Its record names the gene 7SK. It matches the Rfam family "7SK RNA". Rfam says of the family: 7SK was discovered as an abundant small nuclear RNA in the mid-70s but a possible function has only recently been suggested. The record is from Ensembl. NCBI's taxonomy places the organism in Eukaryota, Metazoa, Chordata, Mammalia, Primates, Hominidae.
GGAUGUGAGGGCGAUCUAACUGUGACAUCUGUUACCCCGUUGUUCACCAGGGUUGAUUUGGCUGAUCUGACUGGCUAGGCGGGUAUCCCCUUCCUCCCUCACCACUCCAUGUGUAUCUGUCGCAAACCUGCGUGCUCAGUCAAAGAGGAUGACCAUCCCCAAUAGAGGAGGACUGGUCUUCAGUCAAGGGUAUACGAGUAGCUGCACUCCCCUGCUAGAAACUCCAAACAAGCUCUCAAAAAAAAAAAAAAAGGCAUGACAUGGUAUCACUGUUUGUUCAUGUGCUCUUCCAGUUUAGGCUGAAUCUCAU